This 348-nucleotide unclassified non-coding RNA is filed under the name Hevea brasiliensis (rubber tree). Lineage: Eukaryota; Viridiplantae; Streptophyta; Magnoliopsida; Malpighiales; Euphorbiaceae. The record is from RNAcentral.
AUAACCUUGAGCAUUGAGUUCUGGUCUUGAUCUGACAAUACAUGUUUCUGGUCUGCAUUCUCAGUUAACUCAGCACCCCCAGCCUCUGAAAGAUCCCAAUCAUCAAAUAGACCUCCUUUCCGAUCUUUAGAGCUAUAACCCUUCAAAAUAUCAUCUUCCAACUUUUGUAUCAACUUUUGUUGUUCAUUAACUUUUGCAGUAAGCUCUGCUAUCUUGCUUUCAGCUGCUUCCAGCAAAGACACUUUCUCAGACAGUUUAACCUUCAACUGUGUGAGUUCAUGUUCCAUUUUCCUAUUCUUAUCCAGAAGAAGAGACUCCAUUUUGCUCAUCUCUUGCCCACUAGUAGCU